RNAcentral lists this ribosomal RNA (294 nucleotides) under Citrobacter sp. CC14. Its description in RNAcentral is "partial 16S ribosomal RNA". It matches the Rfam family "Bacterial small subunit ribosomal RNA", at positions 46 to 334 of the family's 1533-position model. The record is from RNAcentral. Lineage: Bacteria; Pseudomonadati; Pseudomonadota; Gammaproteobacteria; Enterobacterales; Enterobacteriaceae.
AGGCCUAACACAUGCAAGUCGAGCGGCAGCACAGAGUAGCUUGCUACUUGGGUGACGAGUGGCGGACGGGUGAGUAAUGUCUGGGAAACUGCCCGAUGGAGGGGGAUAACUACUGGAAACGGUAGCUAAUACCGCAUAACGUCGCAAGACCAAAGAGGGGGACCUUCGGGCCUCUUGCCAUCGGAUGUGCCCAGAUGGGAUUAGCUAGUAGGUGGGGUAACGGCUCACCUAGGCGACGAUCCCUAGCUGGUCUGAGAGGAUGACCAGCCACACUGGAACUGAGACACGGUCCAG